Long non-coding RNA from Cynara cardunculus var. scolymus (artichoke), 904 nucleotides. RefSeq lists it as uncharacterized. Lineage: Eukaryota; Viridiplantae; Streptophyta; Magnoliopsida; Asterales; Asteraceae. The transcript has 6 exons. The record is from RefSeq and is a predicted model, not a curated record.
UCUGGGUGAAAAUGGGUCAACAGAGGAGGGGAAAAAUUGCAAGAAGAAGAAAGCAUAGGUGACGGAGAUGCGAUGGAGGCUUCAAGAAAAGAAACCCAGCGUUUUCGUCGUGAUUCAUUCUGGAGAUUGAGCUUAAAGCAGGUGUACCGAGUAGCAGAUAAAGUUGCAUUAGAGUCCCUGGUCCAUUCUUCUUGACAACUCUUAUUUGCCCACCCAUCUUGUUAACCUGUCAAUACAUGAGAUAAUAUUUUUCAGACCUACAAUAAGACCAUGGAGCUUUCCGAUCGAGGGGAAAAUUCUCAUCAUCAAUAAAAGAACGUGGAUCUUCACACCAUCCCCGCAGAAUAAUGUAUCCUGCUGUUUGCUGUAUUUUCUGAUCACAUACUCAGAGAGCUUAACUUGAGCUGUUGUUAUUUCAACAGUCGAAUUCAAGAUGCCCCACAUGCGUAAUACUGGACGCUGCAAGAGUUCAUACCGAAGGCCAUACGCUAAAGCAUUUAACGAUGUUCUCGUGUACACUUUAGUGAAAUGCCAGAGUCGAACCAUGAUGGCAAGCCGAGCUACAAAGACGCUAUAGUAUGAAGACAGACAAUUGGUGUAUGUGCACUGGAGUUCUUCUUGUUCAACAUCCCUGUGUUGACCUUUCCGCCUGCAAGUUUGUGGAAUUUGCAUGAGAAAGGGUGAUGGAGAUGAUGUGGUCAAAAGGAAUGAAUACUCAUAGAAGGAGACAAAGCAUGGAGGUGUAGAUCUUUGAUUCCCAAUCUACAACCACCCACUUUUCCUUUAGAUCUGAAUUGUUCUUUUGAAGCUCUAAAUGCCUAUGAUCUGCUCAUUUUGUUUUUCUGAAAGAUGGAAUAAACUUUAUUAAAUCCUUUAUUUUUUUAAUAAAUAAGAAACUUUUUCA